RNAcentral lists this long non-coding RNA (1543 nucleotides) under Olea europaea subsp. europaea. The record is from RNAcentral. Lineage: Eukaryota; Viridiplantae; Streptophyta; Magnoliopsida; Lamiales; Oleaceae.
CUCUGAGUAGCUGAUGUUCCAUUAAAAUACCUCAAAGAAAAACUCGUGUUUUUCAACUGUAGUUGAAGAGAACACAUCAGUACGUGAAUGAUAUAAUCUUAUUGAGUUAUGAUUGGCGAAUCUUAAUCCAAAUGAUAAUUGCGGUUGAAUACAAUAGUGAAGUUGCAAUAAAGUCAAGAUCGGAGGUUUGAUUCCAUUUCCCCAACAAUCAUCAAAAGAAAGAAAAUGAGGGAGUUGUUCUUUACUUGCUUCUGAUUAUUUUCGUUAAUUUUGCACAAUUACAAAACUGAAACUAUUGUAUUUUUUGUUCUUUGAUAAUGGAUUAUUCUACUAGUGGCAUGGGACCCGUGGAUGUUUCCCUUAUGAUUUUCCACGUUAUACUUGGUGUUCAUCUUUAUUUAAUUCCAUAAUAGAUUAUAUAUUGUAGAACACAUAUCUGUUAAAUUGCCCCAAUUAGAAUUGUGUGUAAAAUUGUCUGUAAAAAGUUCUGACAUAUUCUGACUGAAACGAAUAAUUGAGAUAAAUUGAUUAAUUAACUAGGUUUUAGAACGUUGAAGUUGUUUAUUUAUAUGUGAUUGUUGCACUAUAUCAUUUAAGUGAUCAAGUGCCUUUGAUAACUUUCAUAUAUUUUAAACCGAUGUUAGCUUCAUAAAAUGUAGUGUGUCACUCCUUAUAUUUUGAUCGAGAGUUAUGAUUGAUGAAUGAGGGUUGACACUUUAUUCAUGGUUGUCGUGUUGACUAUUCCACCUCUUCGGUGAGCAAUUUGUCCUUAAUUGCAUAAUAUUGUUUUGUCCUAAUUGCAUAAUACUAUUUUUUGAGUGUGAUAUUUGUGUACUCGAUGAGCAUUGGACUAAUCCAUGUGUUAGAAUAUAAUAUUAUAUAAUGAUUAAGAAGAAUUAAAUUUCACGUGACCGUAGUAUUAAUUAUAUAGAUUGUAAACAAGAUCCUUUACACUAAUCGCUUGCUUGAAUAUUAUUUGAUAUACCAAUACGUGAAACUAAUUUUUGUGUUAAAAUACCUCGACGUGUUGUGAAUCAUAUAGUAUAUCAGCAAAGUAGUGGGUUAUUAUUGGCUUUAGAAAAUAAAAAGGAUUUAAGAAGUCCUUUCAAGUAUUUUCUGUUUGACGAUAAAUCAAAUCUCAGUUUUUAGCAUUGGAUAACAUGUAUCAGAAAUCAUUGGGGAAAAACUAAAAAGAACUCAAGGAAAAAAUCAUUUGAAGGGCAAAACAGUCUUUUUAUCUUAAUUUGACACCAGGCAUGGGUAACACAGUAGUUCAGCGGGCAUAAGGAAGUAAUUAUAUAAUUGUUUAUGUGAUUUUAUUUAUUUAUUUAUUUUUUAAUAAUUUUAGAGUGUAGUUUUGCGCAUUUAGUGGAGCAACAGGCGGUUAAGAAUUGGAUUGGAAAAGGAGUAGGUGAUACCUAUUUAUUAGAUUUUAAAUUAUAUAAAUCCUACCACGUCGCUUUUGUAGCUCCUAAAGUUUUAGGACUUGAGACUCCAUUUGAUUGUAAGAACGAAAUUUGGGUGAAAAAAAAAUAAAUUUCAG